Papaver somniferum (opium poppy) is the source of this 1792-nucleotide long non-coding RNA. RefSeq lists it as uncharacterized. The transcript has 4 exons. Lineage: Eukaryota; Viridiplantae; Streptophyta; Magnoliopsida; Ranunculales; Papaveraceae. The record is from RefSeq and is a predicted model, not a curated record.
GUUAGAGGGAAUUGUUUUACCCGCUCUUUCACGAUUGUAAAUUAAAAAUUGGUUUUUCCAUGGUGGCAGGUUUUCCAGUACAAUGGUGGUAGUGGUUGGCUUCUGAUUAGUUGAAGACAAUGAAGAUAAAUUACUUCAAUGAGUUAUUUUGUCGAAAAAACCCAAAUAAAGUGAUGGAAUUGAAGAAGUAGGUGGUUGAAGAAAAAAUGACACUUUGAAAUUAGCUUUCAUUCGCAAGCUCUUUUGAAACGGUGAUACUCUCAAACACGAAAGCCGUCAACGAAGAGUUGGUGUCGUUAGGGGAUUCAGGUGGUCGCAGAAGUUGGAUCUUCGCUUCAUUCAUGGAUAGUCUUCCCCGACAUCAAAAGAAAAUCGACUCUUGGAGGCAUUUGGUAAUGGUAAAAUGGUUAGGCAUUUGUAACAUUAUCUGCCAUCUUUCAAGGAGUGAUCUUUUAUAGUAUUAAAUUGACUGCUGAGAAACUGAUUCUUGCACACAGAAAAACCUUUGAACUACUAGCAACUUCUAUAAGUAAGAUCAGGUGAUGGUCAUGAUCUACGAAUUACUAAUGCCUUCUCCUUUGGAUACAUAGGUUUAAUGAAAGUAAUGCACUAACCAAUAAGAACAAUUCAAUAAGGAGGAAACAAGGAACUAGAAUAGAGAGAACAAGGAACGCGAAACAGGAGUUUAGUUAUCCACAAGUGGCAAGAGCAUAUAAUUACGACUAUUAGGUCUAGAAUUUCACGUUUGGAUUGGUAUGUUUAGAAGUACAAGAGACCAAGCACCCGUCCUAUAAUCUGUAGCCGAAGAUGUUUACAUUUUACCGAUUCCAUAUGACCAAAGAUGUUGUGAACUAGGUAAUAAAUUUUACGGGGAACUCCCUUGGUCGGAAAAAAUUCAGUGCAGACACAAAACCGGAAAUGAAGAAACUAAUAGAAAAGGCGCAAUCAAAUUUUAUUUCUCUUUUUGUGGUAGAGUUCUUAUAUAUCGGAAAUUGGCAAAGAAGAUGAUGAAGACAAUGACUUAAGAUUCACUCAGGUUGUUCCCAAAAAUUAUCAAAGUAAAUGGUGAACGAACGAUGUAGACACUGGGCAUUAGGAUUCCUACUGCUAAGAUUGCUUUGAAGAGGGAAUGGAUAUACAAACUUCAAGGCAUCCAAACUAAAAUCUAUUUCACAAGAAUACAUCCUCUGAGAUAAUAUAUCUGCAAUAAUUGUAUGUUGAUCAUGGCAUUCCGAUUACUCAUCUACAUAUAAUAAAUAUCCGGACGGAAACUCGGAAACAUCUCACUGGAAUGCCGCAGCGCAUAAUAGCAGUUUGGAUAGAUUAAGUUUGAGAAAUGGCAUAAAGUCGAACUAAGCUGCAUAAUAAAAUGAGAUUCGCCUCAUCAUACAACUCGGUAAUGCCGGUGCAUAUGCACCGGGUUAGGAGCUUGUUUCUUAUAAUACUGAAUUCAUUCACCUUUUUUAUUUUGAUAUUUUGGUUGGAAGUAUCUUGCCAUUUCAUCAUCCCCAUUUAAAAGUUUCCAAAACAACUUUAUAAGCAGAGCUUUGUUUAGAAUUUCUAAUCUUCUCAGACCUAGUUCACCUUCUUCAAAUGGAGAGCACACACAAUCCCAUUUCAAAGUAAUCGUUUUUCUAGAAGAGGGAUCACCAGUCCAAAGAAAGUUUCUGAUAAUCCUUUCACACUCCUUAAUGACUUUCUUGGGCCAUUUGUACACAACCAUACUAUAAAUGGGAUAACUGCAUAAUACAAAUUUUAUCAGAAUCAGUCUUUCGUGAAAAGAUAGUAGUAU